GACGAACGCUGGCGGCGUGCUUAACACAUGCAAGUCGAACGAUGAAGCUGGAGCUUGCUCCGGUGGAUUAGUGGCGAACGGGUGAGUAACACGUGAGCAAUCUGCCCUUGACUCUGGGAUAACUGCGGGAAACUGUAGCUAAUACCGGAUACGAGGCUCGAAGGCAUCUUCGGGUCUGGAAAGAAUUUCGGUCAAGGAUGAGUUCGCGGCCUAUCAGCUUGUUGGUGAGGUAAUGGCUCACCAUGGCGACGACGGGUAGCCGGCCUGAGAGGGUGACCGGCCACACUGGGACUGAGACACGGCCCAGACUCCUACGGGAGGCAGCAGUGGGGAAUAUUGCACAAUGGGCGAAAGCCUGAUGCAGCAACGCCGCGUGAGGGAUGAAGGCCCUCGGGUUGUAAACCUCUUUUAGCAGGGAAGAAGCGAAAGUGACGGUACCUGCAGAAAAAGCACCGGCUAACUACGUGCCAGCCGCCGCCGUAA
This 483-nucleotide ribosomal RNA is filed under the name uncultured bacterium. Its description in RNAcentral is "partial 16S ribosomal RNA". It matches the Rfam family "Bacterial small subunit ribosomal RNA", at positions 28 to 523 of the family's 1533-position model. The record is from RNAcentral.